RNAcentral lists this ribosomal RNA (253 nucleotides) under uncultured bacterium. RNAcentral's name for it is "partial 16S ribosomal RNA". It matches the Rfam family "Bacterial small subunit ribosomal RNA", at positions 524 to 776 of the family's 1533-position model. The record is from RNAcentral.
UACGGGGGGGGCAAGCGUUGUUCGGAAUUACUGGGCGUAAAGGGCGCGUAGGCGGCCUUCUAAGUCGGACGUGAAAUCCCUCGGCUCGACCGGGGAACUGCGUCCGAUACUGGAGGGCUUGAAUCCGGGAGAGGGAUGUGGAAUUCCAGGUGUAGCGGUGAAAUGCGUAGAUAUCUGGAGGAACACCGGUGGCGAAGGCGGUUCUCUGGGCCUUACCUGACGCUGAGGAGCGAAAGCGUGGGGAGCGAACAGG